ACAAAAUCACAAAACUUUGGGUCAGUUCCAAUUAUUUCCAGACCUUACUGUAUGUUGGGACUUGGGAGUGUCAGUUUGUUUCCAGGGGCAUGUUCACGAGGCCUACUGCUGUAGCAAAGAAACUGUUCUUAUGGUAGGAAGUUUUGGUCCUGAUAGACCUCAGCCUUCUGCCAGAGGGGUGAGCACUGAAUAGUCCAUUUCUGGGGUGAGAGGGAUCAGCCCUGAUCUUUGCCACUCGCCUCCAUGUCCAGAUCUCUCCAGAUUACUCAUCAAGUGCCCCCUUUGUGCAUUACUUCAGUAAGCAUGUUGUCUCAUGGGUCUUAAGUACGCUCUGUGUACCCUUGUACCCCUGGUUGGGAACGAAUGUCUUUGUCAAUGUUUUUGUUCAUAACGAGUUGAAAAUUGUUAUCUAGCUGGCUAGCCUGCUUGUACAAUUACCAGAACAUUUAAAAUAAAUAUAUUCUAAAGACAUUUAUUUGAAUAUUGACACAUUACAAAACAGUAAUUUACAAAUUGAUGGCGAGCUGCUGAUGUGAAUGAAGUCGCUCAAGUUACCAUGACAACAUCUGCAAUAACAGGAUCGGAGUUGAAUGUCUCUUGCAUGUAAAAUACGAAUGCCCGCAAGUCAUAUAGAUGUGCUGGUUUGAAAGGGUAUAAUUCUGAACUGUCCGACCAUGUUUUUUUGAUCCGAAGAUUGAACGAGAUUAUGUUCUCUUACUUUUUGUGAUUACUGAUCUUGAAUAUACAUGUGUGUGUGUAUUCAUUUGAACUAACCUUUCAAACCUAUUUUGCAAUGUUGAUCUGGCCAAAUGGCAAAAAUACAGCAAAACCAAGGUGAA
Molecule: long non-coding RNA, 839 nt
Organism: Esox lucius (northern pike)
Lineage: Eukaryota; Metazoa; Chordata; Actinopteri; Esociformes; Esocidae
Exons: 2
Source: RefSeq, a predicted model, not a curated record